Molecule: ribosomal RNA, 468 nt
Filed under: uncultured bacterium
Lineage: Bacteria
Description: partial 16S ribosomal RNA
Rfam family: Bacterial small subunit ribosomal RNA
Source: RNAcentral
GACGAACGCUGGCGGCGUGCUUAACACAUGCAAGUCGAACGGAAAGGCCCUGCUUUUGUGGGGUGCUCGAGUGGCGAACGGGUGAGUAACACGUGAGUAACCUGCCCUUGACUUUGGGAUAACUUCAGGAAACUGGGGCUAAUACCGUAUAGGAGCUCCUGCUGCAUGGUGGGGGUUGGAAAGUUUCGGCGGUUGGGGAUGGACUCGCGGCUUAUCAGCUUGUUGGUGGGGUAGUGGCUUACCAAGGCUUUGACGGGUAGCCGGCCUGAGAGGGUGACCGGCCACAUUGGGACUGAGAUACGGCCCAGACUCCUACGGGAGGCAGCAGUGGGGAAUAUUGCACAAUGGGAGGAAGCCUGAUGCAGAAACGCCGCGUGCGGGAUGACGGCCUUCGGGUUGUAAACCGCUUUCGCCUGUGACGAAGCGUGAGUGACGGUAAUGGGUAAAGAAGCACCGGCUAACUACGUG